GGACGGGUGAGUAAUGUCUGGGAAACUGCCUGAUGGAGGGGGAUAACUACUGGAAACGGUAGCUAACACCGCAUAAUGUCGCAAGACCAAAGAGGGGGACCUUCGGGCCUCUUGCCAUCGGAUGUGCCCAGAUGGGAUUAGCUAGUAGGUGGGGUAACGGCUCACCUAGGCGACGAUCCCUAGCUGGUCUGAGAGGAUGACCAGCCACACUGGAACUGAGACACGGUCCAGACUCCUACGGGAGGCAGCAUG
Molecule: ribosomal RNA, 252 nt
Filed under: uncultured bacterium
Lineage: Bacteria
Description: partial 16S ribosomal RNA
Rfam family: Bacterial small subunit ribosomal RNA
Source: RNAcentral